Non-coding RNA from Brachypodium distachyon (stiff brome), 126 nucleotides. The record is from Rfam. Lineage: Eukaryota; Viridiplantae; Streptophyta; Magnoliopsida; Poales; Poaceae.
CAUCUACUCCCUCCGUCCCAUAUUAAGUGACUCUAAUUUGUCUAAAAAUGAACGUAUCUAUAUACUAAAAUACGUCUAGAUACAUGUAAUAUUCCGGCACUUAAUAUGGGACGGAAGGAGUACAAU